RNAcentral lists this long non-coding RNA (421 nucleotides) under Elaeis guineensis (African oil palm). RNAcentral's name for it is "long non-coding RNA (EGUI_LNC077564)". Lineage: Eukaryota; Viridiplantae; Streptophyta; Magnoliopsida; Arecales; Arecaceae. The record is from RNAcentral.
UAUCAAAAUACUUUGUACCAUAAUAUAUAUAUAUCAUAAUCUUUCACUAAAUAUGUGCAUAAAUCGAUAUACCAUAACAUUUCAAAAGCACUUUUCUUUAAAAACAUAAUUUCAUAAAUCAUGCAUAAUUUCAGAGAAUAAUUAUUUAUUUUCAGAAUAAAUAUGGAAUAUUUCGAGAAGAUGAUUCAUUACUUACCUUUCAUGGACCACUGAAUGAACAGAUCGACUAACUUCUAGAAAAUUCUUCCGUGCCUAUUAUCCAAAAUUAUAUUUUUAUAUUAAUUUUAAAUCUAACAAAUCCCAAAAUCAAAAUCUCGCUUAAAAUCAGACUCAUCUCUAAACUCGAUCAGAAUCAUCAGAUGAAGCCUUCCCCUAUGCUAAUCUUAGAAGGAUAACUUUAGAGAGAGAAAUCCAUCAAGAG